Molecule: ribosomal RNA, 1099 nt
Filed under: Nanobdellota archaeon
Lineage: Archaea; Nanobdellati; Nanobdellota
Description: partial 23S ribosomal RNA
Rfam family: Bacterial large subunit ribosomal RNA
Source: RNAcentral
AUAUAUAGAUAAAUAACGUAUUUUAUGGAUAGCUAGGUUGUAAUAUACAUAGGCGUUGUUGAAAACGAAACAAGAAGUGUCUCUUUACUAUAGUUUGGCUUUUUUUUCCUAUAAGGUAACUUUAAUCAAAUUUUUUUUAAAUUUGGUAUUUAAAUUCUGUAAAUUGAAACAUCUUAGUAGCAGAAUGCGCGGUAAAUCAAAAAAAAAAAAUAUUCUAAUAAUUAGAAUAUUGGGAGAGAAUUGGGUGUGUAGAGGUGAUCGAAAAUCCUUUAGAUAAGUAACAAUUGGCAGAUUGAAAUUUUUCAAAUUCCAUAGAUGGUUUAAGUCCAGUAGAUUUCUAAAUUUCUAAAUUUAGAAUUUUAUAAUGCAUUUUUGUAUUAUAAUACUAGACUAAUUGAUACUUAUAAAGUACAGCAUAGAUCGAAAGCUUUGCUGGAAUAAAAAAAGACCACUUUUUAAAUCUAAUAAAAUAUUGCAGACCGAUAGUGCACACAGUACCGUGAGGGAAAGCUGAAAAGUUACCUUGGUAGGUAGGUGAAAUAGAUCUUUAAAUAGAAUACGUAAAGCAGUUAGAUGACUAAUGUAGUUUCUGACGUACCUUUUGCAUAAUGGGUUAGCAAGUUAAUUAAUUUAGCGAGCUUAAAAUGUUAAUUGUAGGCGUAGUGAAGGCAAACGAUAAAAUGUUUUGUCAGUUAAAUUAUUUAGACCCGAAAUCAAGUGAGCUAGCCAUGACCAGGGGUAUGUUGCGUAGCGAUGUAAGACCGAACCCGUAUCUGUAGCAAAAGAUUGGGAUGAGUUGUGGUUAGGGGUGAAAGGCUUAUCAAACUUGAAAAUAGCUGGUUCUCUGCGAAAUUUAUUUAGGUAAAGCGUUAAUUUAUGAUUUUACAGGUAAAGCUCUUUACAACGUAGGGGGUUUCGAUCUACCGAAGUUGUUUAAAAUCAGAAUGGUGAAAUCAGUAUAUUAGCAGACAGGCAUAGAGCGCUAAGGUCCUACUGCCAAAAAAGAAAUAGCUUAGAAUUAUAGUUAAGGUCUUAAAAAAAAGUUAAGUGACAUAAAAAUUUUUUGUUUUUUAUAGCCAUUAGGAGGUGGGCUUAGAGG